UCCUCCUUAGCUCAGUCGGUAGAGCGCAUGACUGUUAAUCAUGAUGUCGUUGGUUCGAGCCCAACAGGGGGAGCCA
RNAcentral lists this transfer RNA (76 nucleotides) under bacterium. RNAcentral describes it as "tRNA-Asn". It matches the Rfam family "tRNA". From Rfam's summary of the family: Transfer RNA (tRNA) molecules are approximately 80 nucleotides in length. Their secondary structure includes four short double-helical elements and three loops (D, anti-codon, and T loops). The record is from RNAcentral. RNAcentral also lists the same sequence under 1 other name.